UCGGCUCGGCCCUCGACCACAGUAAAGGAUCAGGCGCAGGCAGGAAAAUAGACAGAGAGCGAAGAGAGGAGAAGAUUUGGCCGCCGCGGUUGCAACCCUGCGCAUGCGCCGCUCGGGCUUCGGUCGCAUGGUCUGGGUGACCCGCUGGGGUACAUAGAUGACGUCCGUGGCACUUGAGCGAGGAGAAGACUCUCGGUGGAGGCCGAAUUGCUCACCGGUUCGUGGACAUCACCGUCGGGCCGCAUCUCACCAUGGGGGCAGGUUCUCCACUGCUCCACCGUCGGUAAAAUACUCCUAGAAUUAUUCUGGGUUGAUUCCGCUUCGCGUUUUUGCUACUUCGAUUGGGGUUCGGUCGUCGGGGUGUUGGUUUCGCGGGCAUCAGUGAGCUAUCGGGGCGGAGCUCUUCUUCCGCCGCCCUGUCGUGCAGUCGGGAGCAGGAAGAAGCAUGGAGUCCAUUGAUCUAGUGAUCAACGGUGGCUAUAGGAAGAUGAAGUGGAUGAACCAGGACCGUUAGAUGGUGAUCCAGCGUGCGGAACUUGUGAUCGAAUCUGGGCGGUCGAUGUUAAAUCGUGCGGUCGAUGCUGGAUACCGAUUCGGGUUGGAGACAAUCUAAUCUGGGCCACGAGCUUCAGAUCCAACGGCCUGAAUUCGCAGAUACCCGUUCGGCCAUGACUUUUGCUAAAGAGCCCCCGGGGAAUGGUCAAACUAACCCGCCAUCUAUGCUGGUUCAAACAUAAUUCCAACCGGGACCUUUUAUUUGCAGAUUUAACCCUGUGCUUAUGAGAAAUAGUGGCCCUAGCCAGAAAGUUUAUGAAAUAGUUAUAUUAAUGAUUUUUGUUAUAAAAAUAAUCCAAGAAACUUGCUUAAUUUAUAUUAAAUCCAUUUUAACUCCUUUUUAACCCGUUCCAGUUGCAUUAAUUUUGUUUCAAUAUUCUCUAUCAACUAGUAACACUGUUUAGCCAUGAAACAUGAAUUAAGAUUGUUCAUUUGGAUUAAUCUAUUCUAAGCACUAAAAUAAUUUCGAAAACUCAUAACUCAAUAACAAUAGCUCCGUAUUGAGUGGUUCUUCUUUCUACGAUCUCGUUACGCAGUGUAGAUUAUUAUUAUGCAGUUUGUGCUUAUGUUUGGUGUAAUGUUAAUUUUGCCUAUACCAAUAUUUGUUUGUAUUGCUACGUUUAGCGAGAGGUCACGAGUCAUCUGAAAAGCAAGUUGGUACCUGGAAUCUCAAGUGCCAGGCAAGUUGUGCCCUUGAUCACUUCUUUUUACCCAGUCAUGUUCUAAUUAAUCAUAAUGAUCUGCAUAGGUUAAUUUUGAUGGGACCCAAUAGGAUACCCUAGUUUGACUAUCUUUAUACCUUGUUCACCACUGAAUUUUUGGGUAGUACCUGCUAUUGCUUUAUGUGGUUUUGGGUAUAGAGAUACACAUUACUAUUCAUGAUUAUAUUUUAUUAUCAGUUGUUAUUUACUGUUCAUGUUAAGAUCAUUAUGUUAAUUGGAACAUGGAGAACCACCCGGGAAAACAGUGCUACCACAAGGGUUUAAUGGGACGCCCUUGGCUGAUUAAUUAGGAAAGCUAGUGGAUGACUAUCUUACCCGAAAGGGGCAAGGGCAGUAGGGGAGUGGUCAGUGUAGGGAGGCCCUUGGGAUGAUUUUGCUGCGAUGGCGGUCAUGCGAGGGAUUCCUGCAUUGAAGCUUCCUAUAAACUGUAGCGGGUUUUCUGAAGCUAGUGGAACUUUGUAAAGGCCUCGUAGUGUUACCCUGCCUCGCCUCCUCGGUAGAGGUGUAUGGGAUUGGCCGUCUCUUGGCAGAUGGGAAACAUGACUUGUGGGUAAAGAUGCGCAACCUCUGCAGAGUGUAAAACUGGUAUACUAGCCGUGCUCACGGUCAUGAGCAGCUCGGACACUCACAUGAUUAAAUUAUGGAACUUAAACUCAAUUUGACAUAUGCAUUGCAUCGCAGGUGAGGUUGUUACUUUUGUUCUACUACUUAAUUGGACUGGUAUUUACUUAUACUUAGUAAUUGCUAAUAAAAUUUUGACCAACUUUAAAAGCAAUGCUCAGCUCUAACCAUCCUCUUUGGUAAGCCUUACACUUCACGUGAGCUCCCACCUUUGGCGAGUUCAUGCACAUUAUUCCCCACAACUUGUUGAGCGAUGAACGUAUGUGAGCUAACUCUUGCUGUCUCACACCCCCCCACAGGUCAAGAUCAGGUACCACAGGAUGAGGCGCAUGGAGGAUGCUGCAAUGUGUUCGUGAGAGUUCUAGGCCGUCGUCUCCCAGUCAACUUUGGGUUGCUGGACCGUUAUCUCCUUAUAAUGUAAUUAUUUAUUUAUUCUGUAUAGAACUCCUAUUAUAUAGUAAAGAUGUGACAUUCGAUCC
Molecule: long non-coding RNA, 2377 nt
Filed under: Zea mays
Lineage: Eukaryota; Viridiplantae; Streptophyta; Magnoliopsida; Poales; Poaceae
Description: long non-coding RNA (ZMAY_LNC001660)
Source: RNAcentral